RNAcentral lists this ribosomal RNA (253 nucleotides) under uncultured bacterium. RNAcentral's name for it is "partial 16S ribosomal RNA". It matches the Rfam family "Bacterial small subunit ribosomal RNA", at positions 524 to 776 of the family's 1533-position model. The record is from RNAcentral.
AACGGAGGGUGCAAGCGUUGUUCGGAAUUACUGGGCGUAAAGCGCGUGCAGGUGGUUCUCUAAGUUUCGUGUGAAAGCCCUCGGCUCAACCGAGGAACGGCACGGAAAACUGAAGAACUUGAGUACGGGAGAAGAGGGCGGAAUUCCCAGUGUAGAGGUGAAAUUCGUAGAUAUUGGGAGGAACACCGGCGGCGAAAGCGGCUCUCUAGACCGAUACUGACGCUCAUACGCGAGAGCGUGGGUAGCAAACAGG